This 1384-nucleotide long non-coding RNA is filed under the name Equus asinus (donkey). RNAcentral's name for it is "lncRNA (ENSEASG00005035829.1)". The record is from RNAcentral. Lineage: Eukaryota; Metazoa; Chordata; Mammalia; Perissodactyla; Equidae.
CUAGGAAAUAAUCAUGGUUGCUGACUUGGUUGCCAACUUUUAUUUUAAAUUUCUGAGGUUAUGACUGUGAAUUUUACAAAGUGUUUCUUUUUCAGGCCCUCCAGUAGAUCCAGCCUACCUGAGACAUUUUCUGAACAGCUUGAAGGGGGAGAAUGGAGACAGGGGGCUCAAAGGAGAAAAAGGAGACUCUAAUGGCGACUUCUUGGUGUCAGGCCCUCCUGGCCUGCCGGGAAAUCCAGGCCUGGUUGUGAGUAGUGACGCGUCCACGUCGUCUUCCUCAAUGAGUCACGGCUUUCCCUGGUGCCCCCUGAGGUGCCUAGGCAGAUGGGGAGCAGGGUUCAGUCACAGCACCAUAGCUGGAGGCAGGCCUGGGCUUCAGCCUCCCUCCCCCAUACUUGUUUACUGAUGGGGAGCUUGGCUGGAGCCCACGGAGGAAAGGAGCUGGCCAAGACCAUAUCCAUUCAGGUGACUACCAGGUCAUUAACCACACUGCCUUACUCAUGUCAAUGGUGGACAGUUCCCUUAACACGAGGAGUUAUUAAUGGUGAGCACAUCAGAUCAUGGAGGCAGAAGGGAAGGUGUGGGAGAUAUUUUUAGAGGGGCUAUUUGAUUCUUCUGCAACGUCAUCAGAGAAGGAGUCCCUAGAUAGGCUCCGUCUUCUAAGGAUGCGAAGUUUCUCCAGGUCACUAAAGAGAAAUGCAAGUUAUGCCUCCAACAAGCUUAUGACGGGAUCUUUGACCCUCAGGCAUCACGAGCAAACUCUAGUCCCAGAGCUCACCCUGCGGGUAGACCCAGCAAAGCCAGCAGACCAGGGUUCCACUUCCGGUUCUGCUGCUAAUUUGCAUUGAGACCUUGGGCGAGAGUUUUCUCCUCUCUAGGCCUCAGUUUCUUCAUCUGUGAAGUGCAAAGGCUAAACUAGGUGAUCUCUAGGGCCCUUCUGAGUCCAGGGUUCUCUGGGGUUCUCUGGAGUGUCAUUCAACAUAAUGACUGAGCUGCUGCUCACCUGAAUUGUGCCCAGGAUUGAGGAUAAUGAUAACAAUAGCUGGUGUUUAUUGACUUCUUACAAAUGUCCUCAUAAAGAAUGGACAGGACUUCUGGUGGUUAAUGCUGUUUUCUCUCUUCUGCUACUGUGCACUUGCCUUGACAGGGCCAGAAAGGGGAGACCGUCAUCGGGCCCCAGGGACCCCCGGGUGCUCCUGGCCUGCCUGGGCCACCUGGAUUUGGAAGACCUGGUUCCCCUGGGCCACCGGGACCCCCAGGGCCACCAGGACCUCCGGCUAUCCUGGGAGCAGGUUAGUACUGUGGGUGGUGCCCUCCUUUAUGCAGCCCCUGCUGUUCUGCUCAGGGUCACCACAUCUGGGUGGCAUGUCAGAGCCACAGUGAC